This 497-nucleotide ribosomal RNA is filed under the name uncultured bacterium. RNAcentral describes it as "partial 16S ribosomal RNA". It matches the Rfam family "Bacterial small subunit ribosomal RNA", at positions 28 to 507 of the family's 1533-position model. The record is from RNAcentral.
GAUGAACGCUGGCGGCGUGCCUAAUACAUGCAAGUCGAGCGAACGGACGAGAAGCUUGCUUCUCUGAUGUUAGCGGCGGACGGGUGAGUAACACGUGGAUAACCUACCUAUAAGACUGGGAUAACUUCGGGAAACCGUAGCUAAUACCGGAUAAUAUUUUGAACCGCAUGGUUCAAAAGUGAAAGACGGUCUUGCUGUCACUUAUAGAUGGAUCCGCGCUGCAUUAGCUAGUUGGUAAGGUAACGGCUUACCAAGGCAACGAUGCAUAGCCGACAUGAGAGGGUGAUCGGCCACACUGGAACUGAGACACGGUCCAGACUCCUACGGGAAGCAGCAGUAGGGAAUCUUCCGCAAUGGGCGAAAGCCUGACGGAGCAACGCCGCGUGAGUGAUGAAGGUCUUCGGAUCGUAAAACUCUGUUAUUAGGGAAGAACAUAUGUGUAAGUAACUGUGCACAUCUUGACGGUACCUAAUCAGAAAGCCACGGCUAACUACGUG